Molecule: ribosomal RNA, 253 nt
Filed under: uncultured bacterium
Lineage: Bacteria
Description: partial 16S ribosomal RNA
Rfam family: Bacterial small subunit ribosomal RNA
Source: RNAcentral
GACGAACCGUGCGAACGUUGUUCGGAAUCAUUGGGCUUAAAGGGCGCGUAGGCGGGCUGCCAAGUUCGGGGUGAAAUCCUCCCGCUCAACGGGAGAACGGCCCUGAAUACUGGCGGUCUCGAGGGAGGUAGGGGCGUGCGGAACUAUGGGUGGAGCGGUGAAAUGCGUUGAUAUCCAUAGGAACUCCGGUGGCGAAGGCGGCACGCUGGACCUCUUCUGACGCUGAGGCGCGAAAGCCAGGGGAGCGAACGGG